GUGUCAGCCGCCGCGGUAAGACGGAGGGUGCAAGCGUUAUUCGGAUUUAUUGGGCGUAAAGAGCGUGUAGGCGGCCGGUCAAGCCAGAUGUGAAAGCCCAGGGCUUAACCCUGGAAGUGCAUUUGGAACUGGUUGGCUUGAGUUCGGGAGAGGGAAGUGGAAUUCCGGGUGUAGAGGUGAAAUUCGUAGAUAUCCGGAGGAACACCGGUGGCGAAGGCGACUUCCUGGACCGAAACUGACGCUGAGACGCGAAAGCGUGGGGAGCAAACAGGAUUAGAUACCCUGGUAGUCCACGCUGUAAACGAUGGGCGCUAGGUGUGGGGGGUUUUUAAUCCCUCCGUGCCGCAGCUAACGCAUUAAGCGCCCCGCCUGGGGAGUACGGCCGCAAGGUUAAA
Molecule: ribosomal RNA, 395 nt
Filed under: uncultured bacterium
Lineage: Bacteria
Description: bacterial SSU rRNA
Rfam family: Bacterial small subunit ribosomal RNA
Source: RNAcentral